Molecule: ribosomal RNA, 433 nt
Filed under: uncultured bacterium
Lineage: Bacteria
Description: partial 16S ribosomal RNA
Rfam family: Bacterial small subunit ribosomal RNA
Source: RNAcentral
AGUGAACGCUGGCGGCAGGCCUAACACAUGCAAGUCGAGCGGACCCUCCGGGAUUAGUGGCCGAUGGGGGUGUAACACGUCGGAACGUGCCCUCUGGUUUGACCCACCUAAAGGAAACGUGAACUAAUAGGGGAUGUGCGCUUCUGGGGAAAGAUUUAUCGCCAUUGUUGGGGCCCGCGUCUAAUUAGCUAGUGUGUGAGGUAACAGACCACCAAGGCGCCGAUCAGUAGAUUGUCUGAGAGACUGAUCAGCCACACUGGGAUUGAGACGCGGCCCAGACUCCUACGGGAGGCAGCAGUGGGGGAUCGUGCGCAGCGGGCGAAAGCCUGACGCACCCAUGCCGCGUGAAUGAUGAAGGUCUUGAGGUUGAAAAAUUCUUUCAGCGGGGCCCAUAAUGACGGUACCCACAGAAAAAGCUCCGGCUAACUUCGUG